This is an RNA transcript of Stegostoma tigrinum, 1710 nucleotides long. It is a transcript of the gene named COMM domain containing 10, with no coding region annotated. The transcript is spliced from 8 exons. The record is from RefSeq and is a predicted model, not a curated record. NCBI's taxonomy places the organism in Eukaryota, Metazoa, Chordata, Chondrichthyes, Orectolobiformes, Stegostomatidae.
GGGAGGGAGAGAGCUCGCUCUUUAUAUCCCCACUCAGGCUUCGGGCCUCCCCACACUCCGUCUCUACCAGCUCGAGAACUGAGCCUCACGGGAUCCCGUCACACCGCGGACCGGAGCCGGAAAUCAGCCGCGGUGCGCUGUUUGCCUGUGUCCGGUCAGUGGGAACUGGGCCGUGAGAGUGAGCGGACAGUGUGUGACCAGGCAUUGACCCACAGCCCGGUGCAGACUCCUGGCCAAAUGGCUGCAAUUGUUAAAGAAACGCAAAGCAUAAAGCAAGCUGUUGUAUUAAUCAAUGGAAUCGAUGCUGCUAAAUUUCCCCGCCUGCUGUCUCGCAUUCUUCAGAAACUUCACUUGAAGGAUGAACAUUCGUUUAAUGAAGAAGAGAAGGAAAAGCUACAAGCUGCGCUCUCUCUGGAAAAACAAGAUCUCCGCUUGGUGCUGGAAACUGUAUCUUUUAUCCUGGAGCAGGCAGCCUAUUACAACAUGAAACCCAUUGCUCUUCAACAACAACUAGAAAAUAUUCACCUGAGUCAAGAGAAGGCUGAAACCUUUGCCCAGGCCUGGACAAGUACGGGCCAAGAUGUUGUUGAAAAAUUGAGGCAGAAUACGUUUGCUCCUAAAAAGCUUGAAAAAGUUGGGUUCUGUCUUAACCUUGAAAUGGGACAUUCAACACAAGCCAAAGUGAAGUCUCCUCUUGCUGUUCUUGAGCUUGGAGUCAACAGUGACAACUCUGAGAGACCAAAGUACAGAUAUAGGAGCACAGAUUUGAUACAGUGCAGAAGAAGGUCAUUCAGCCCAUCAUAUCAAUAAGACAGAAAAGAUUUUUGUGGAAUUUAACCAUGGAGAGCUUCUAGAAUUUUACAACAAGUUGGAAACUGUACAAGCACAACUGGACUCUCUUAUGUGACUCAUAAUUUGAACAAGAAAUGGUCUUUCAGAAAUAUGUCUGACAGCGGAAUAACUGAAGAAUUUUCAUAAUAAUCAUUGUUGGAGAAAUAGAAUGAAUUGCUUCUGUCAAGUAUCACAGCAUAAAAGUGAAAGUACCAUUUCAGGAUAUCUUUGCCAGCCAGUGAAUCUUGAAUUUGACAAAUUGUUACAUAACAUUCAAUAGCACAUGAGCUGAGUAUCAACUACCUAAAUACUGCCUUGUAUUGAUUUAGGAUUAUCAAUGUCAAUUUAGAACAUCCUAAUAAUUUCACAGUGGUGUGAUGUUUGGAUUUAUGAAUGGAAGAUUGGGCAAGAAUGUAUGUUGUUUGAAAGUAAAAUUGUGACAUGGCUUUAGAAGGUUUUCAGCAGCAAUAAUGGUUUCCAUUUUCAUUGUCUUGUGAAGACCGGAAGAUGGAUGAACUGAACAUUCAACUUACUCGUUUAAGUAUUGCAGCUUAUUAAGCUUUUGGAAUAACAUUGUAUACAUAUCUAUUAUUAAUGAAUUCCAUGCCAUUAAUACAACAAACCUUUCUACGAAGUUAUGCUUAAUAAAGCUAAUUUCUUUUGUUCUUGUAAUUUGUGAUAUUUUCAAUGUUAAGUAAUAGCUAGAAUAUAAGUGUAUUGAAUCGUCCUGGUUUCUGCUAUCUGCUGAAUUAAGAUACCCGAAGAACCGUGUUCUAUUGUCAGUGGUAAUGAACUUUCAGGCUGAAUACAGUGGGAUUGAAGUGCAAGUUUUGAAUAGUUCCUUGCAUAAGCUGAAAUAAAUACAGAAUUGAUGACUUA